RNAcentral lists this ribosomal RNA (620 nucleotides) under uncultured bacterium. RNAcentral's name for it is "bacterial SSU rRNA". It matches the Rfam family "Bacterial small subunit ribosomal RNA", at positions 338 to 947 of the family's 1533-position model. The record is from RNAcentral.
CCUACGGGAGGCAGCAGUAGGGAAUCUUCCGCAAUGGGCGAAAGCCUGACGGAGCAACGCCGCGUGAGUGAUGAAGGUCUUCGGAUCGUAAAACUCUGUUAUCAGGGAAGAACAAAUGUGUAAGUAACUGUGCACAUCUUGACGGUACCUGAUCAGAAAGCCACGGCUAACUACGUGCCAGCAGCCGCGGUAAUACGUAGGUGGCAAGCGUUAUCCGGAAUUAUUGGGCGUAAAGCGCGCGUAGGCGGUUUUUUAAGUCUGAUGUGAAAGCCCACGGCUCAACCGUGGAGGGUCAUUGGAAACUGGAAAACUUGAGUGCAGAAGAGGAAAGUGGAAUUCCAUGUGUAGCGGUGAAAUGCGCAGAGAUAUGGAGGAACACCAGUGGCGAAGGCGACUUUCUGGUCUGUAACUGACGCUGAUGUGCGAAAGCGUGGGGAUCAAACAGGAUUAGAUACCCUGGUAGUCCACGCCGUAAACGAUGAGUGCUAAGUGUUAGGGGGUUUCCGCCCGUUACGUGCUGCAGCUACGCAUUAAGCACNCCGUCCUGGGGAGUUACGACGCAAGGUUGAAACUUCAAAGGAUUGAGGCUUGAGGCGNGCGAGGCGACGACGAGGAGGAGG